Molecule: ribosomal RNA, 466 nt
Filed under: uncultured bacterium
Lineage: Bacteria
Description: partial 16S ribosomal RNA
Rfam family: Bacterial small subunit ribosomal RNA
Source: RNAcentral
GAUGAACGCUGGCGGCGUGCCUAAUACAUGCAAGUCGAGCGAACGGACGAGAAGCUUGCUUCUCUGAUGUUAGCGGCGGACGGGUGAGUAACGCGUGGGUAACCUGCCCUGUACAGGGGGAUAACAGCUGGAAACGGCUGCUAAUACCGCAUAAGCGCACGAGGAGACAUCUCCUUGUGUGAAAAACUCCGGUGGUACAGGAUGGGCCCGCGUCUGAUUAGCUGGUUGGCAGGGUAACGGCCUACCAAGGCAACGAUCAGUAGCCGGUCUGAGAGGAUGAACGGCCACAUUGGAACUGAGACACGGUCCAAACUCCUACGGGAGGCAGCAGUGGGGAAUAUUGCACAAUGGGGGAAACCCUGAUGCAGCAACGCCGCGUGAGUGAAGAAGUAUUUCGGUAUGUAAAGCUCUAUCAGCAGGGAAGAUAAUGACGGUACCUGACUAAGAAGCUCCGGCUAAAUACGUG